RNAcentral lists this long non-coding RNA (619 nucleotides) under Brassica rapa (field mustard). RNAcentral describes it as "long non-coding RNA (BRAP_LNC002828)". The record is from RNAcentral. Lineage: Eukaryota; Viridiplantae; Streptophyta; Magnoliopsida; Brassicales; Brassicaceae.
UAGAUAUUUUAACUAAAAACCACACUAAAUCGAGAAAACCGAAAUCAAAUCGCUUUUUACAAAUAUUCAAACAGAAAAUGUUUUAUAUUUUCUGAAAAUUUGAAACCGGAUCAGAAUCGAAUCUAGAGCUGAAUAAGUACCAAAAUAUCUAAAAUACAUUUUGAAUACAUAAAUAUGUCAACUAUAUUAGCUUUAAAAUAAUCAAAUUGAAAUUUCUAUAUAUAAACCAAAUUUUUCCAAAAGAAAAAAAAAACAAAAUGAGCUAAAUGAAUUUCUAUAUAUAAACCAAAUUUUUCCAAAAGAAAAAAAAAACAAAAUGAUAUUUUACUUGAAUUAUCUGAUAUUUUACUUGUACUAUCCAUAAUCAUCUGAAAGUAAAAGCAAAACUGAAAUUGAAUUAGACUCAAAAUUUUCUAAGAUAUUAGUCGGUCUCGGCUUGUUACCUAAACAUGAUCAAAAAUCAAAAUAGAUGAACUGAAACUUGGUUUAGUUUAUUAAAUAUUUAUACCGUUGUCUGUACCUAGGAAAGUUGAACCAAAAACCGAAUGCCAAGACUACAUAGUGACCAUACAACUUAUGGCUGUUCAAUAUGGUAAAACCGAACCGUACCGAACCGAAC